UUAAGCGACUAAGCGUACACGGUGGAUGCCCUGGCAGUCAGAGGCGAUGAAGGACGUGCUAAUCUGCGAAAAGCGCCGGCGAGGUGAUAUGAACCCUUGACCCGGCGAUGUCCGAAUGGGGAAACCCAGUGUGUUCCGACACACUAUCGUUAACUGAAUACAUAGGUUAACGAGGCGAACCGGGGGAACUGAAACAUCUAAGUACCCCGAGGAAAAGAAAUCAACCGAGAUUCCCCCAGUAGCGGCGAGCGAACGGGGAGCAGCCCGGAGUCUGAAUCAGCUUGUGUGUUAGUGGAACGGUCUGGAAAGUCCGACGGUACAGGGUGAUAGUCCCGUACACGAAAAUGCACAGGUUGUGAACUCGAAGAGUAGGGCGGGACACGUGGUAUCCUGUCUGAAUAUGGGGGGACCAUCCUCCAAGGCUAAAUACUCCUGACUGACCGAUAGUGAACCAGUACCGUGAGGGAAAGGCGAAAAGAACCCCGGCGAGGGGAGUGAAAAAGAACCUGAAACCGUGUACGUACAAGCAGUGGGAGCACCUUCGGGUGUGACUGCGUACCUUUUGUAUAAUGGGUCAGCGACUUAUAUUCUGUAGCAAGGUUAACCGUAUAGGGGAGCCGAAGGGAAACCGAGUCUUAACUGGGCGUUAAGUUGCAGGGUAUAGACCCGAAACCCGGUGAUCUAGCCAUGGGCAGGUUGAAGGUUGGGUAACACUAACUGGAGGACCGAACCGACUAAUGUUGAAAAAUUAGCGGAUGACCUGUGGCUGGGGGUGAAAGGCCAAUCAAACCGGGAGAUAGCUGGUUCUCCCCGAAAGCUAUUUAGGUAGCGCCUCGUGAACUCAUCUUCGGGGGUAGAGCACUGUUUCGGCUAGGGGGCCAUCCCGGCUUACCAACCCGAUGCAAACUACGAAUACCGAAGAAUGUUAUCACGGGAGACACACGGCGGGUGCUAACGUCCGUCGUGAAGAGGGAAACAACCCAGACCGCCAGCUAAGGUCCCAAAGUCAUGGUUAAGUGGGAAACGAUGUGGGAAGGCACAGACAGCCAGGAUGUUGGCUUAGAAGCAGCCAUCAUUUAAAGAAAGCGUAAUAGCUCACUGGUCGAGUCGGCCUGCGCGGAAGAUGUAACGGGGCUAAACCAUGCACCGAAGCUGCGGCAGCGACACUAUGUGUUGUUGGGUAGGGGAGCGUUCUGUAAGCCGUUGAAGGUGUGCUGUGAGGCAUGCUGGAGGUAUCAGAAGUGCGAAUGCUGACAUAAGUAACGAUAAAGCGGGUGAAAAGCCCGCUCGCCGGAAGACCAAGGGUUCCUGUCCAACGUUAAUCGGGGCAGGGUGAGUCGACCCCUAAGGCGAGGCCGAAAGGCGUAGUCGAUGGGAAACAGGUUAAUAUUCCUGUACUUGGUGUUACUGCGAAGGGGGGACGGAGAAGGCUAUGUCAGCCGGGCGACGGUUGUCCCGGUUUAAGCAUGUAGGCGGAGGUUCCAGGUAAAUCCGGUACCUUGUUAACGCUGAGGUGUGAUGACGAGGCACUACGGUGCUGAAGUGAUAAAUGCCCUGCUUCCAGGAAAAGCCUCUAAGCAUCAGGUAACACGAAAUCGUACCCCAAACCGACACAGGUGGUCAGGUAGAGAAUACCAAGGCGCUUGAGAGAACUCGGGUGAAGGAACUAGGCAAAAUGGUGCCGUAACUUCGGGAGAAGGCACGCUGAUAGGUAGGUGAAGCCCCUGCGGGCGGAGCUGAAAUCAGUCGAAGAUACCAGCUGGCUGCAACUGUUUAUUAAAAACACAGCACUGUGCAAACACGAAAGUGGACGUAUACGGUGUGACGCCUGCCCGGUGCCGGAAGGUUAAUUGAUGGGGUUAGCGGCAACGCGAAGCUCUUGAUCGAAGCCCCGGUAAACGGCGGCCGUAACUAUAACGGUCCUAAGGUAGCGAAAUUCCUUGUCGGGUAAGUUCCGACCUGCACGAAUGGCGUAAUGAUGGCCAGGCUGUCUCCACCCGAGACUCAGUGAAAUUGAACUCGCUGUGAAGAUGCAGUGUACCCGCGGCAAGACGGAAAGACCCCGUGAACCUUUACUAUAGCUUGACACUGAACACUGGUCCUUGAUGUGUAGGAUAGGUGGGAGGCUUUGAAGCGUGGACGCCAGUCUGCGUGGAGCCAUCCUUGAAAUACCACCCUUUAAUGGCUGGUGUUCUAACGUAGACCCGUGAUCCGGGUUGCGGACAGUGUCUGGUGGGUAGUUUGACUGGGGCGGUCUCCUCCCAAAGAGUAACGGAGGAGCACGAAGGUUGGCUAAUCCUGGUCGGACAUCAGGAGGUUAGUGCAAUGGCAUAAGCCAGCUUGACUGCGAGCGUGACGGCGCGAGCAGGUGCGAAAGCAGGUCAUAGUGAUCCGGUGGUUCUGAAUGGAAGGGCCAUCGCUCAACGGAUAAAAGGUACUCCGGGGAUAACAGGCUGAUACCGCCCAAGAGUUCAUAUCGACGGCGGUGUUUGGCACCUCGAUGUCGGCUCAUCACAUCCUGGGGCUGAAGUAGGUCCCAAGGGUAUGGCUGUUCGCCAUUUAAAGUGGUACGCGAGCUGGGUUUAGAACGUCGUGAGACAGUUCGGUCCCUAUCUGCCGUGGGCGCUGGAGAAUUGAGGGGGGCUGCUCCUAGUACGAGAGGACCGGAGUGGACGCAUCACUGGUGUUCGGGUUGUCAUGCCAAUGGCACUGCCCGGUAGCUAAAUGCGGAAGAGAUAAGUGCUGAAAGCAUCUAAGCACGAAACUUGCCCCGAGAUGAGUUCUCCCUGAGACUUUAAGUCUCCUGAAGGAACGUUGAAGACGACGACGUUGAUAGGUCGGGUGUGUAAGCGCAGCGAUGCGUUGAGCUAACCGAUACUAAUGAACCGUGAGGCUUAACCUU
This 2902-nucleotide ribosomal RNA is filed under the name Enterobacter hormaechei. RNAcentral's name for it is "23S ribosomal RNA". It matches the Rfam family "Bacterial large subunit ribosomal RNA". Lineage: Bacteria; Pseudomonadati; Pseudomonadota; Gammaproteobacteria; Enterobacterales; Enterobacteriaceae. The record is from RNAcentral.